CUCAGGUGAUUCUCCCACCUCAGCCUCCCAGGUAGUUGGCACUACAGACGUGUGCCACCAUGCACAGCUAAUUUUUUUUUUUUUUUUUUUUUGUAGAGAUGGGGUUUCACCGUGUUAGCCAAGCUGGUCUCGAACUCCUGGGCUCAAGUGAUCCGCUCACCUCAGCCUCCCAAGUGCUGAGAUUACAGGUGUGAGCCACCGCGUCCAGCCUGAGUACUCUGUUCUUCUCAAGUUGAUUUUUGUGCAGAAUGGGGAUCAGGUCAUGUUGUGUUUUUGCUUGUCAGGCGGUGAGAACAGAACUGAGAAGGUGGGGUCAACUUUAAAGACGGGCAUUUCCGAGGACACGGAAAGUUGAGUGUUGAGUCCAUUGGGAGGACUCCAAAGGCCAGACUUCAGAGAUCCAAAUUUGUAGAAUCUCAUGAAUCCCAAGAAAACACAAGAGAUCUUAGAAGGAAAGGAUCCUUCAAAUGUGUGAGCUGUAAACUCAGCCUUGAACAAAAGAGAACGAAAAGGAAGGUCUUAGGAAGGAGGCCUUGGUCAGAACGCCAAGUUUCCAGGUGAUGCCAGGAUGAAGUUACUCAUUGGAAAGGGAUAGUACCCCGGGGCAGAUGUUGGUCAGGGAAGGGGGAUGUAUUUGAUUUAUUUAUUUUUUUUUUUUUUUUUUUGAGGCGGAGUCUCGCUCUGUAGCCUGGGCUGGAGUGCAGUGGCCAGAUCUCAGCUCACUGCAAGCUCCGCCUCCCAGGUUUACGCCAUUCUCCUGCCUCAGCCUCCCGAGUAGCUGGGACUACAGGCGCCCGCCACCUCGCCCGGCUAGUUUUUUGUAUUUUUUAGUAGAGAUGGGGUUUCACGGUGUUCGCCAGGAUGGUCUCGAUCUCCUGACCUCGUGAUCCGCCCGUCUCGGCCUCCCAAAGUGCUGGGAUUACAGGCUUGAGCCACCGCGCCCGGCCAAGGGGGAUGUAUUUGAAACUUAGUUUACACAUGGUUUGCAAAAAGGCUUUCUUUGAAACACACCUCCCUAAAUAAGUUGGGUCCCCUGUUCUUCCAUCUCACUUGUUCAGUGUCCAUCAUCGCCCUAGGAGGGCAGCUCUGCCAUGACCAGGACUGGCCCAGCCUCUCUGCCUAAUGCAUGGCUGACACUGGGUGAAUUGGAGGGGAAGGGUGGGAAGAAAUAAUCAAUGUCAUCUGCAUCUCAGGCUUGGGUUCUGGGAGAGGGCUUUCCUCUGAGUGGUUGCUGUCUGACAUCCCCUGUGCCCCUGCCCUAGAAGGACGGCUGAUGCUGUCCGCCUGCAGGAACUGCCUGCCCUCCCCUGCUCUCCCCCCAGCCCAUAACACUGCGGGGGAUGGAGAAGGGCUGACCCUCGGAUG
This 1365-nucleotide long non-coding RNA is filed under the name Macaca mulatta (Rhesus monkey). RNAcentral describes it as "lncRNA (ENSMMUG00000059385.1)". Lineage: Eukaryota; Metazoa; Chordata; Mammalia; Primates; Cercopithecidae. The record is from RNAcentral.